AGGAUGAACGCUAGCGGCAGGCUUAAUACAUGCAAGUCGAGGGGCAGCAGGUUUGUAGCAAUACAGAUGCUGGCGACCGGCAAACGGGUGCGGAACACGUACACAACCUUCCUUUAAGUGGGGAAUAGCCCAGAGAAAUUUGGAUUAAUACCCCGUAACAUUAUGAUGUGGCAUCACAUUAUAAUUAUAGCUCAGGCGCUUAAUGAUGGGUGUGCGGCUGAUUAGGUAGUUGGCGGGGUAACGGCCCACCAAGCCUGCGAUCAGUAACUGGUGUGAGAGCACGACCAGUCACACGGGCACUGAGACACGGGCCCGACUCCUACGGGAGGCAGCAGUAAGGAAUAUUGGGCAAUGGAGGCAACUCUGACCCAGCCAUGCCGCGUGGAGGAUGAAGGCCCUCUGGGUUGUAAACUUCUUUUAUAUGGGACGAAAAAGGGCCUUUCCAGGUCAACUGACGGUACCAUAUGAAUAAGCACCGGCUAACUCCGUGCCAGCAGCCGCGGUAAUACGGAGGGUGCAAGCGUUAUCCGGAUUCACUGGGUUUAAAGGGUGCGUAGGUGGGUUGGUAAGUCAGUGGUGAAAUCUCCGAGCUUAACUUGGAAACUGCCAUUGAUACUAUCAGUCUUGAAUAUUGUGGAGGUCAGCGGAAUAUGUCAUGUAGCGGUGAAAUGCUUAGAUAUGACAUAGAACACCAAUUGCGAAGGCAGCUGGCUACGCAUAUAUUGACACUGAGGCACGAAAGCGUGGGGAUCAAACAGGAUUAGAUACCCUGGUAGUCCACGCCCUAAACUAUGUCUACUAGUUGUCGGGUCUUAAUUGACUUGGUAACGCAGCUAACGCGUGAAGUAGACCG
This 853-nucleotide ribosomal RNA is filed under the name uncultured bacterium. Its description in RNAcentral is "bacterial SSU rRNA". It matches the Rfam family "Bacterial small subunit ribosomal RNA", at positions 26 to 871 of the family's 1533-position model. The record is from RNAcentral.